Molecule: long non-coding RNA, 527 nt
Organism: Haplochromis burtoni (Burton's mouthbrooder)
Lineage: Eukaryota; Metazoa; Chordata; Actinopteri; Cichliformes; Cichlidae
Exons: 3
Source: RefSeq, a predicted model, not a curated record
UCAGGCUUUUUAAUCAAUGUGGAUGUGAAACUGCAUUUAAAGCUAACAAUGAGAGUUAACUCAGCAUGUUUUGACACAGCUGAUUUGACUGAUUAGCACUAUUUUUUAAGUGAAGAUUGUGACUUGAACCAUAUCACCAAGAGAACUCAGGCUUCAUCUUGGUAUAUCAGGACUGCAUCUGCCUGUUUGGACUGUAUAAUCUCACACCUGACUGAGCUUCCAGAUUAACAGCUGCAGUCUGAGUUUUUCUACUAGAAAGUCUACAAUAAUCCAGGCUUUUUUUAAGCUGCCAUGGCGAUGUCAACUCCACGUUUUAGGGCUCCAAGUCACAAGUACUGAAGAGGUUCUAACUUAUAGGACGAUCCAGAUCCAAAUGUGUUAACGAGAAGUUUUCCCCCACCAUCUUCACAACUACUUGCAGACCUCCAGUUGAGUCUUGGAUCCUCAAUGAGCGCCCUGAGGUCACUGACUUGGGGAAUCCGAACAGUCUUGAUGGCUGCGUGGCGCUUUGCUCUGCAGACUUCAGC